RNAcentral lists this ribosomal RNA (656 nucleotides) under uncultured soil bacterium. Its description in RNAcentral is "bacterial SSU rRNA". It matches the Rfam family "Bacterial small subunit ribosomal RNA", at positions 37 to 666 of the family's 1533-position model. The record is from RNAcentral.
UGGCGGCGUGGAUAAGACAUGCAAGUCGAGCGCUGAUUACGAGGUAGCAAUAUUUCGUAGUCGGAGCGGCGCAAGGGUGCGUAACACGUGGGUAAUCUGCCAUGAAGUUUGGAAUAACUUGCUGAAAGGCGAGCUAAUACCGGAUGUGAAAAUUGGAGGGCAUCUUCUGAUUUUCAAAGUUGGGGACCGUAAGGCCUGACGCUUCAUGAUGAGCCCGCGGCCUAUCAGCUAGUUGGUGAGGUAACGGCUCACCAAGGCUAAGACGGGUAGCUGGUCUGAGAGGACGACCAGCCACACUGGAACUGAGACACGGUCCAGACACCUACGGGUGGCAGCAGUCGAGAAUUUUUCACAAUGGGCGCAAGCCUGAUGGAGCGACGCCGCGUGGGGGAUGAAUGGCUUCGGCCCGUAAACCCCUGUCAUUUGCGAUCAAACCUCGUUAUUUAAAAGAUGACGAGCUGAUAGUAGCGAAAGAGGAAGGGACGGCUAACUCUGUGCCAGCAGCCGCGGUAAUACAGAGGUCCCAAGCGUUGUUCGGAUUCACUGGGCGUAAAGGGUGCGUAGGUGGUGGGGUAAGUCGGAUGUGAAAUCUCCGAGCUCAACUCGGAAAUGGCAUUGGAAACUGCCCUGCUAGAGGGUCGGAGGGGGGACUGGAA